Molecule: ribosomal RNA, 253 nt
Filed under: uncultured bacterium
Lineage: Bacteria
Description: partial 16S ribosomal RNA
Rfam family: Bacterial small subunit ribosomal RNA
Source: RNAcentral
UACGGAGGGUGCAAGCGUUAAUCGGAAUUACUGGGCGUAAAGCGCGUGUAGGCGGUAGGCCAAGUCUGUGGUGAAAUCGCUCGGCUUAACUGGGCGGGGUCCAUGGAAACUGGUCACCUGGAGGUCGGUAGAGGCAAGUGGAAUUCCCGGUGUAGUGGUGAAAUGCGUAGAGAUCGGGAGGAACACCAGUGGCGAAGGCGGCUUGCUGGGCCGGACCUGACGCUGAGACGCGAGGGCGUGGGGAGCGAACAGG